AACAACUUUAUCGCCCUUUCCCUUUUCGUUUCCCAUCCCUAAAUUUCCAAGUACCUACGGUGGCUUGCAAGGGAGGAGGAGCUGCCCUGGCGUGGCACUGUAGGUCGCUAGUCGUGUGGGCGGCCGGCGACGGACACGGCUUCUCGUCAGCGGCCGCCAGUUGCCGCUCGUCUAAUUUUUCUCCGCCGCGAAACUUUUUCGCGGCGAAUAGGGCGAGGAUAGGCGAGGACGUUGGAGGUGCCAGGGGUGCCCUCCAAGCAAGCGGAGGCUAUCACGCCGGUCAUCAUCGAGCGUGAUGAUUCAGGAUGUCAAUCUCUCCAAAUUCAUCUUGGAAAUGAAGAGCUCCCAGCACCUACUUGAUAGUUGAGCUUCUUAGGAGCUUUGACCUCUAAAACUACUGAGAGAUGGUCUUUGUUUCCAGUUCACAGUCCAUCCCUCUCAGGAGCAUCAAUUUGCACAUUUGCAACGAGAGAAUGACAAGUUUCGGGCUGAUACUGAGAACAAGCAUAGCGAUCUUCGAGCUGAUAUUAAGAAAUUGAGUAACGAAUUGCAACUGGAGUUUAAAAAAUUGUAUAGCACAGGUUGAAAAGUUAUACUGAGAAAUUACGAAGUGAAACGAGGACAGGGAUCGUAAAGCUUAGGGUCGAGAUUGAGAAAUUACAUAGCGAAGCGAGGGAACAGAAAAUUACUAUUUCGAUAUAUGUAGUUGGUUUUACGAUUUUUAUAAAUUAUGAUGUAAACUGUUUUCUGUGUCCACAAAAUAUACAUCAAUUAUGUAAGAUAAAUUUUACUUGAUCAUUCUAAUGCUAAAAGCUGGUCUUUUUUCUUUCA
Molecule: non-coding RNA, 831 nt
Organism: Musa acuminata subsp. malaccensis (wild Malaysian banana)
Lineage: Eukaryota; Viridiplantae; Streptophyta; Magnoliopsida; Zingiberales; Musaceae
Source: RefSeq, a predicted model, not a curated record